UAUGAAACAAAUGAUGAAUGUUUUUAUUCGUGGAAUGGUAAGAAUAUUUUCAUUCGGUGAAAGAUGGAAUGUUCCAUUCAACGUACUCGGCUGUCGCCUCGUUGAAUGGAACAUUCCAUCUUUCACCUCAUGAAAAUAUCCUUACCAUUGCACUCAUAAACAUUCAUUAUUUGUAUAAUA
This 180-nucleotide microRNA precursor is filed under the name Paramuricea clavata. The record is from RNAcentral. Lineage: Eukaryota; Metazoa; Cnidaria; Anthozoa; Malacalcyonacea; Plexauridae.